AUGGGGAAUCUAUAAAGCUCAGGAGGGAUAGCACCAUGAAUACAUCUUAAUGGCUAUCUAUAGCGCUAUCCAUCCUGAGUUUUAUGGCUUCUUCAU
RNAcentral lists this microRNA precursor (96 nucleotides) under Solanum lycopersicum (tomato). Its description in RNAcentral is "MIR390 microRNA precursor family". It matches the Rfam family "MIR390 microRNA precursor family". RNAcentral also lists the same sequence under 1 other name. Lineage: Eukaryota; Viridiplantae; Streptophyta; Magnoliopsida; Solanales; Solanaceae. The record is from Rfam by way of RNAcentral.